GAUGAACGCUGGCGGCGUGCCUAAUACAUGCAAGUCGAGCGAACGGACGAGAAGCUUGCUUCUCUGAUGUUAGCGGCGGACGGGUGAGUAACACGUGGAUAACCUACCUAUAAGACUGGGAUAACUUCGGGAAACCGGAGCUAAUACCGGAUAAUAUUUUGAACCGCAUGGUUCAAAAGUGAAAGACGGUCUUGCUGUCACUUAUAGAUGGAUCCGCGCUGCAUUAGCUAGUUGGUAAGGUAACGGCUUACCAAGGCAACGAUGCAUAGCCGACCUGAGAGGGUGAUCGGCCACACUGGAACUGAGACACGGUCCAGACUCCUACGGGAGGCAGCAGUAGGGAAUCUUCCGCAAUGAGCGAAAGCCUGACUGAGCAACGCCGCGUGAGUGAUGAAGGUCUUCGGAUCGUAAAACUCUGUUAUUAGGGAAGAACAUAUGUGUAAGUAACUGUGCACAUCUUGACGGUACCUAAUCAGAAAGCCACGGCUAACUACGG
Molecule: ribosomal RNA, 496 nt
Filed under: uncultured bacterium
Lineage: Bacteria
Description: partial 16S ribosomal RNA
Rfam family: Bacterial small subunit ribosomal RNA
Source: RNAcentral